This is a long non-coding RNA of Caretta caretta (loggerhead turtle), 2392 nucleotides long. RefSeq lists it as uncharacterized. The record is from RefSeq and is a predicted model, not a curated record. Lineage: Eukaryota; Metazoa; Chordata; Testudines; Cheloniidae.
GGAAAUAUCCAAGGAUUUGUUCACAGGUGUAUUAAAAAAGUCACAUCUUGUCUUACCCGAAGACAAUAGCACAAGUCCUGAACAACUAGCUCAUUAUCAGUUAAUCAUAACACCCUGAUGACGCCAGUUUCCCUUCUUUUCUGAUCCAACACAGUGACCUAGCUGGAGGGAGGACACUGCAUCUUAUAAGACGCUGUUUUGCACUGUGCACAUUACAGACCAAAACAGGCACCCACUUAACGCAAGAACGGAUCUGAUGAAGAAACGGGAAGCCCUGAAUGCUGGCUAUGAAAAGUAAAGAGGGCAGGAUCCUAAGUCAGAGAUUUCCCUCCCCAAGGUCAGCCCCACACGCCGCCCUCUGGCUGGGCUGAAGGACUCUCCAGAUUCGCUUCUCAGGCCGGGCAGAGCUGAAACGUGCCAUUUUGUAGCCGAAUCUGACAGCAGCUACAACGUAGCCAGGGCGGGGAGGCGGCGGCGGCGCGGAGCCCGUGGCUAUGCAGCGAGGCGGAAAGCGGGGAAACAGGCCAUCGAUUAAGGCAAUUCACAAGAGACUGUCCAGUUUGACCAAUGUACUUGGCAGAGGGGCAUUGCUGGCACAUGAUGGCAUAUAUCACAUUGGUGGAUGUGCAGGACUAAAAAACAGAGGGAUGUCCACCUCAAAGUUCACUUCAUGAAAGAAGCGAUGCAUCCUGCAUCAGAACUGAGCCCUACCCAUGAAGCAGCAGAUUUAGACUGAUGAGGAGUGCCCUCCAGCUGCCCCUCAUUUGAGGCACACAGCUGGGGGUCGUCAGGGCUUGAUGUCGAUCCAGGAGACGGAGGUGACGGAGAGCUUGGGUGAUGGAGAGCGAGUCGUAGACCAAGUGGUGGGCUCUGGUUCAGCUCGAGAAGUUGAUUGCGUAGGCUCAUCUGCUGCUGGUUGUUUUUCCUUGAAAAACAUGGUGAUCGGCAACUGUCGCUGUUGUCUCUUGAGCUGCUCAAACAUUUCUUGAUACGGUCUCAAAUCGUCUGUAAUACGACGUGUGAUUUUGAGGCUUUGUUCCAUAGAGGGAUCGUAUUCAGAAAUUAAAUCAUUCUUCAUUGGCAGAUGCAGCUUCACCAGUAGUCUGCAUGUUUGUGAGGUUGAAGUGGUUCCUAAAACUGUUAAGCCAACCUUGGCUGGCUUUCAAUUCCUUCUCAUCAGAAGGCUGUCCCUCUUCGUCAGGAGGUAUGAACAGCGCGUAGAGGCUAAGAGCCUUUUCUCGCAAAGUGUUGCCAUCGAUAGGCACAUGUUUGCGGUUCAUGUCUUCCAGCCAUAAGUUUAAGCCUUUUCAGUCUUCACUAAAGUCUUAUCACGCACCUGGCUCAUCACUGUAGCAGUUAUUAGAGCACCUGAUGCCACGGCUUGACGAAUUUCUCUCUCUCGAAUCUUGAUAGCACAGAUGCUAGAUUCGUUGCGGCCAUAUUUACAUGCCAUGUUGGAGACCGACAUACCAUCUCUCAAUAAGCCCAACACAGCCAGUUUUUCCUCCAGUGUUGGAACAGAUCGCUGUUUCUUCAGUUGAGCACCAGAUGAAGUAGUUGGCUUGUGUUUAGGGGCCAUGUUGUAUGAAAAAUACGUAUCUUUAAACACUAGAAUCACACUCAGCACGGCGAGAUGCUCACACUAUGAGAGGCACGUGGGAACUGAGACUGACUGAGGGAACAGCAGAUUCACGUCUCCCAUCUCACACUCACUCUGGGGCAUACGCCCAUUGAGUGGAAUGGUGGGUGGAAUCGCCCACACUAUUUACAGGUAUCUUGUUAUUUUUCUUUUUUUUUUUUGCCGAGCGCGUAUAGUCGAAUUCACGUAAGUUAAAUGCGCGUAUGAUGCGACUCACCUGUGUCUCCUGACUAAGCCCCCAUGCGAUCCAUGAACCAGGGGGAAGACAGGCAUUCAGCUGCCUAAACUGCAUGUGAGGCCUAAUCCUGUAAGUGUGCUCAGAAGGCACCUAUUGGACUGGGUCCCAUUCAAGUACUGGCUGGAGGAGGAGUUGCCCACCUUGUAAUUUUUGGCCCAGUGAUUAGACCACUUGCCUGGGAUGUGGGACACUAGAUUUAAUUCCCACCUCUCUGUCAGCGGGGGAGAAAAGAUUUGAACAGGCGACUCCCACCUUUCAGGAAAGUUCUCUAGCCCCUCAGCUGUGGGAUAUUCUGAUGUGGGGCUCCCUGAGGCUCUCCCAUUAAAACUGUUCCGUUUGGAUAAAUAGUGAAAGAGUGGUUGGUGCAGGGGUCUGGACCCCAGGUCUCCUCCCACCUCCCAGAUGGUGGCUCUAACCACUGGGCUUAGGGCUGCCAGGCAUCCGGUUUUCGACCAGAAUGCCUGGUUGAAAAGGGCCCCGGCGUGCUGACCGGGCCAUUAAAAGUUCGGUCGGGG